GAACUUAAGCAUAUCAAUAAGCGGAGGAAAAGAAAAUAACAAUGAUUCCCCUAGUAACUGCGAGUGAAGAGGGACAAGCUCAAAUUUUAAAUCUAUCGGGUUUUACCCGAUCGAGUUGUAAUUUGAAGAAGCGUUUUCUGCGUUUUUGGUCAGCCCAAGUCCUAUUGAAUGAGGCAUCAUGGAGGGUGAUAAUCCCGUCCGGUUGAUCAUUUGCGUUUUACGAUACGCUUUCUAAGAGUCAAGUUGUUUGGGAUUGCAGCUUAAAAUGGGAGGUAAAUUUCUCCUAAGGCUAAAUAACGACGAGAGACCGAUAGCGAACAAGUACCGUGAGGGAAAGAUGAAAAGAACUUUGAAAAGAGAGUUAAACAGUACGUGAAAUUGUUGAAAGGGAAACGAUUGAAGCCAGUCGUACCUUCGGGUAAUCAGCUUUUCGGGUGCGAUUCUGUGGAGUGUGAUGAGCUUAACACCUUCAUGCUUUGCAUAUUUGUGCUCUUGGGUGUACUUGCCCGUGUGGUUGGUUAACAUCAAUUUUGGUUAUCAUAAAAUGAUUGGAGGAAUGUAGCUUCGAUCUCGUAUUGAAGUGUUAUAGCCUUCGGUAGAUGUGAUGAACGGAUUGAGGAUUGCAACGGAUACCCUUCGGGGCUACCUGUCUGGUCUCUGAUCGUUGCUCUGGUGCCGAAAGCUUGCUUACGGUCAUCAAAGUCGAUGGUCAAUAGGUUAGAACGGGUUAAAUUCGUUAAGGAUGUUGGCGUAAUGGCUUUAAACGACCCGUCUUGAAACACGGACCAAGGAGUCUAACAUAUAUGCGAGUGUUAGGGUGAUUAAACCCUUACGCGUAAUGAAAGUAAUUUUGGUGGGAACAUUUUUGUGCACCAUCGACCGAUCAGGAUAUUUUUUGAUAGAUUUGAGUAAGAGCAUAUCUGCUAGGACCCGAAAGAUGGUGAACUAUGCCUGAAUAGGGUGAAGUCAGAGGAAACUCUGAUGGAGGCUCGUAGCGGUUCUGACGUGCAAAUCGAUCGUCAAAUUUGGGCAUAGGGGCGAAAGACUAAUCGAACCACCUAGUAGCUGGUUCCUGCCGAAGUUUCCCUCAGGAUAGCAGAAACUCGUUAACAGUUUUAUGAGGUAAAGCGAAUGAUUAGAGGCCUUAGGGUUGAAACAGCCUUAACCUAUUCUCAAACUUUAAAUAUGUAAGAAGUUUAUCGUUACUUAAUUGAACGUGAACAUUCGAAUGAGAGUUUCUAGUGGGCCAUUUUUGGUAAGC
RNAcentral lists this ribosomal RNA (1261 nucleotides) under Glomus sp. MUCL 41835. Its description in RNAcentral is "eukaryotic LSU rRNA". It matches the Rfam family "Eukaryotic large subunit ribosomal RNA", at positions 30 to 1145 of the family's 3401-position model. The record is from RNAcentral. Lineage: Eukaryota; Fungi; Glomeromycota; Glomeromycetes; Glomerales; Glomeraceae.